This 288-nucleotide long non-coding RNA is filed under the name Physcomitrium patens. RNAcentral describes it as "long non-coding RNA (PPAT_LNC010438)". Lineage: Eukaryota; Viridiplantae; Streptophyta; Bryopsida; Funariales; Funariaceae. The record is from RNAcentral.
GCGGUACUCUUUGAGUAUGAAUAUUUGAUCAUAUGAGGUAAUUUUUGCUUGAAUCUAUUGGUAACUCCUUUCAAAACAUAUCCAUAUCAAUUACUUAUCUCAUUUACUUUGAUUUUAUGUCCCUACAAAGGAAAUAGAAGCAUCUUCUCUAAAAGGUACUAUUAAGAUUGAACCUUUUAUUACCUUCUUAUUAUUUAUUCUUAUUUUUUUACUACGUCUUUCUAUUAGAAUCUUCUAUAACAAUAUCCAUAUUUUUUUUUUAUCAUAUAGUUGUAUUAUUACACAGCA